RNAcentral lists this ribosomal RNA (395 nucleotides) under uncultured bacterium. RNAcentral describes it as "bacterial SSU rRNA". It matches the Rfam family "Bacterial small subunit ribosomal RNA", at positions 29 to 429 of the family's 1533-position model. The record is from RNAcentral.
AUUGAACGCUGGCGGCAUGCCUUACACAUGCAAGUCGAACGGCAGCACGGGGGCAACCCUGGUGGCGAGUGGCGAACGGGUGAGUAACACAUCGGAACGUGCCCAGUAGUGGGGGAUAGCUCGGCGAAAGCCGGAUUAAUACCGCAUACGACCUACGGGUGAAAGCGGGGGAUCGCAAGACCUCGCGCUAUUGGAGCGGCCGAUGUCAGAUUAGGUUGUUGGUGGGGUAAAGGCCACCAAGCCGACGAUCUGUAGCUGGUCUGAGAGGACGACCAGCCACACUGGGACUGAGACACGGCCCAGACUCCUACGGGAGGCAGCAGUGGGGAAUUUUGGACAAUGGGCGCAAGCCUGAUCCAGCCAUGCCGCGUGCGGGAAGAAGGCCUCGGUGUAAC